Molecule: long non-coding RNA, 1196 nt
Filed under: Sarcophilus harrisii (Tasmanian devil)
Lineage: Eukaryota; Metazoa; Chordata; Mammalia; Dasyuromorphia; Dasyuridae
Description: lncRNA (ENSSHAG00000029972.1)
Source: RNAcentral
ACUGAAUCUCUUCUCAGGCAGGCCGCGGAGGUCUCGGAAAGAGAAAUGGCUCAGCCCACUGGGAGUUCUUUCCUUGGACCUCCGGCACCGUCAGCCCCACAUUUCCAGCAAUCCCGUCAGGCCGAGCAGGGGACGCAGUGAUUCUCCUGUGGCUGUCUUCUUCUCCUUGGGAAAGCCCCACACCAUUUACUGCAGUUCACCCACUUGCCGCUGAGAUAUUAAUGUACUUCAGGGGUCAGUGGAGCUCAACUACCAAAGCUGUUAAUAGGCCAAAGCAAUUCCAAUUUCAUGCCUACAUGGGCUUUCCUCCAUUAAGGGAAGAAGAGAGAAGAAAUCACAUUUUAUUUCUUUUGUGAAGUAGGCUGGCUUCUGGAGGCCGCAGCAGUCCUGUCACCGGGCAGCAGAGGGGGCCCACAGCUCGCAGAAGGAGCCCCAACCUGAUGCUGGGGAAGGAGGAAGUAGGAGGCACGGGGAGGGUUGCCCUGUGGAGUUGUCACAGAAUCCUAGAGCCUCUAAGUUGGCAAGGUCCUUGAAGGACAUCCUCAUUCAGAGGACCUGAAUUUAAGUGUCAGCUCCGCUCUUUACCAGGGUGAACAUAAAUAUGUCACUUUAUUUCUUUAAGCCUUCAUUUUCCAUCUGUAAAAUGGGUUUAGGUGAUUUUUAUGGUCUUUUCCAAUUCUAAAUCUCAAUCAAGCAGCAACAUGGUAUAAAAAGAAAAACUUGACUUCCAGUCCUGCUUCUGAUUUCCUACUGGCUAAGUGACAUUGGGCAACUAAUUUACCCUCACGGUGGCCCAAGCAACUUUCUAGGACAAUAUGUUGCAGUGCAGUCCAUCUGAGAAAGUCCCCUCUCUGGGGAAGUAUAAUGACAAUUAAAAUCACAAAGCCAACUCAAUACAUAUUGGGUCUGAUACAUCCUGUGGGAACAGGGUUGAGUCACAGUGUGAAAUUGUAGUCCAUUGACUUUAGACCCAGAGUUCAAAUCCUAUCUCUGAUGCUUAAAAAUUUGGGUGAAUUUGGGCAAGAUAUGUUAAAAUAUGGGUAAGGUAUUGGAUUACUUGCUAUCUAGGGAAGCAAGGAGGGAGAAAAAUUUGGAACACAAGGUUUUGCAAAGGUGAAUGUUGAAAACUAUCUUUGCAUCUAUUUUGAAGAUAAAAAGCUAUUAUUAUAAAAAAAUAAAAAAGAAUUUGGGCAAGA